GGCCUCGUGGCCCAAUGGCAAGGCGUCUGACUACGAGAAAAACCAUCUCAGGUGGGAACAUUCAAGUUAUCAGGAGAUUCUGGGUUCGACCCCCAGCGAGGUCA
Molecule: non-coding RNA, 104 nt
Organism: Xylaria digitata
Lineage: Eukaryota; Fungi; Ascomycota; Sordariomycetes; Xylariales; Xylariaceae
Source: the annotation of a GenBank genome assembly